GGGCCGAUAGUUCAGUCUGGCAGAGCACCUCCCUGGCACGGAGGAGGCCCUGGGUUCAAAUCCCAGUCGGUCCA
Candidatus Nanosalinarum sp. J07AB56 is the source of this 74-nucleotide transfer RNA. It matches the Rfam family "tRNA". From Rfam's summary of the family: Transfer RNA (tRNA) molecules are approximately 80 nucleotides in length. The record is from Rfam. Lineage: Archaea; Methanobacteriati; Methanobacteriota; Candidatus Nanohaloarchaea.